Molecule: unclassified non-coding RNA, 229 nt
Filed under: plant metagenome
Description: partial contains small subunit ribosomal RNA, internal transcribed spacer 1, and 5.8S ribosomal RNA
Source: RNAcentral
UCUCCGUAGGUGAACCUGCGGAGGGAUCAUUACAGGGUUCAUGCCCUACCGGGUAGAUCUCCCACCCUAUGUUAUUAUUACUUUGUUGCUUUGGCGGGCCGUUAGGCCCCGGCCCGACUACCGGCCCCGGCUGGUAAGCGCCCGCCAGAGGACCCAAAACCCUGAAUAUUAGUGUCGUCUGAGUACUAUAUAAUAGUUAAAACUUUCAACAACGGAUCUCUUGGUUCUG